UCCAAAAGUUAUACAAGGGAGAGCACAUACCUUAAAUGUAUUGAGUGAAAAAAACUCCACCAAUGGGUUGACUGCUUUGUCAGUUGGGUCAGAAUUAAAAAAUCAUGCAACGACAGCUUCGGAAUGUGGUCGGAGCAAGCUUGAGAAUCCAUUCAUGGCGUAUUUUUAAGAUUUUGGCUCAAUUAUAAAGUUAAUUCGAUUGACGACCCUAAAUAUAUAAUCAA
Rhagoletis zephyria (snowberry fruit fly) is the source of this 224-nucleotide long non-coding RNA. RefSeq lists it as uncharacterized. NCBI's taxonomy places the organism in Eukaryota, Metazoa, Arthropoda, Insecta, Diptera, Tephritidae. The record is from RefSeq and is a predicted model, not a curated record.